Molecule: long non-coding RNA, 499 nt
Filed under: Diabrotica virgifera virgifera (western corn rootworm)
Lineage: Eukaryota; Metazoa; Arthropoda; Insecta; Coleoptera; Chrysomelidae
Description: uncharacterized LOC126889881
Source: RNAcentral
CAUUGAUUUGGAAUAUUUAUGCAAACCUCUAAAUUUGGCAACUGUUUUUGAAAAAUUGGUAGAUGCAUGCAUUGACGCAUUUUUUAAACAGUUUAUUGUUAGUUUUUAGUUUGUUAGGUCGGUUGUUUGUGCUGCGCCCUGGAUUUGGGCGUUGUCUGUUGCAUCAUAUACAAAUUUGUGAAAGUGAAGUUAGUUUAUCGGGUUUGGACCGAAGGGUUAGGCCUUCCUCCUUUCAGACCGCCUGCGCCCAAUUGCAAUCUGCCCAGUUUAUCGUUAAAUAAAGGUGAAGUGAGACUAAAUGGUGUGUAGGUGUUACGAAAGUAAAUUUAAGUACAAUUAAGGUGUGGCUUUAAUACCUAUAUUCACAAAGAAAAGGCCUCUUUCGAAGCUAGUAAACUGCAGGCAGAGGAAAUAAAUAUGUUGGUGGCAACUUUUAUUACAUUUAAAGCCACGAAUUUGGCUUUGGACUCUCAAAUUGCAUCGAUCUAUAGCUGUUUUG